Rhea pennata is the source of this 1037-nucleotide long non-coding RNA. RefSeq lists it as uncharacterized. The transcript is spliced from 3 exons. NCBI's taxonomy places the organism in Eukaryota, Metazoa, Chordata, Aves, Rheiformes, Rheidae. The record is from RefSeq and is a predicted model, not a curated record.
GGCCGCGGGGGGAGCGCGGCCCUUGCCCGGUGCGCCGGCAGGGUCGCGUUUGGGGCGCCCGAAAGCCAGGGAGGGGGCGGCCGCGUCCUCACGAGCAGCGUCUCCUCGCUCCCGAGCUCAGGCGGUGCAAGAAGUUCCGUAUCUGCCCGCGAUGGAGCCGUUCGGCAGGAUUGGCCCCAAAACCUUACGGAACAUCUCGUCUCCCCCUUCCGCGGCUGCAGCUUCCGCGGCGCUUCUGUAGCGGCGAGGGAAGAAGAUGCCCAGGGGCUGCGCUGCAGGGGGGCACGCAGGACCCUCGGUCCCCACAGAGGGUGUGCUGGGGGGAGCAGUGGCGGGCAGAUGACGUCCUCGAAAUUAUCUGCGACAUUGAAGGAAGAACCUGUGGCAUUGCAAGCAACCCCAGUGAAGUCCGUGAGCCUCUAUGCAUCUAAGGAGGGCAUCAGGAGUUUGAGUCUAUUAGUCACUCCUUCCCACAGCAAGGACGGCAAGAAAUGGCAGAGAAGAGAAACAUGCUGAAACCAGCUGCCAGUCUCCUGUCUCCAUGGGAAGGUGAAUCUUGCAAGAGUGGCUAUCCAAAUGGGUGCCUCUGGAUCUGGAGAAAAGAAGCCCAAGGCCUUCAGAGGAGGCAGCUAGACAUCUAUACAAGUUAAUGUGGAGUAUUAUAUGCAAAUUUGAUUUUGCUAAGUCCAGUUUCACAUCACUAGAUUCUAGCAGAUUUUUCAAAGUAAAAUCUAUAUUAUACAUUGUAAAGAAAUGUAAUAAGAAUAGUGUGUUUUAUUAAGUGUUACCCACAGAUAUUUUUGAAGGAAAAAAGAAAUGUAAAAAGAUCUUUGCCUGUCUUAAAAACUGAUUUCAACUUAUAUUCAUAUGAAUAACUCUUAUUUUAAGUGACUACAUAAAUUAAAAAUAUCUACUGGUAAAAAUAUGCAUCAGUAAAGGAGAAAUGCUCACAGAGAUUCAGCAUCAUGUUAUUUAUGCAACACAUUGUUAACCCUUAGUUAACACAAGGAAAAUAAUUUCACUUACAUUGACAACUA